This 1410-nucleotide ribosomal RNA is filed under the name Staphylococcus aureus. RNAcentral's name for it is "bacterial SSU rRNA". It matches the Rfam family "Bacterial small subunit ribosomal RNA". Lineage: Bacteria; Bacillati; Bacillota; Bacilli; Caryophanales; Staphylococcaceae. The record is from RNAcentral.
GUCGAGCGAACGGACGAGAAGCUUGCUUCUCUGAUGUUAGCGGCGGACGGGUGAGUAACACGUGGAUAACCUACCUAUAAGACUGGGAUAACUUCGGGAAACCGGAGCUAAUACCGGAUAAUAUUUUGAACCGCAUGGUUCAAAAGUGAAAGACGGUCUUGCUGUCACUUAUAGAUGGAUCCGCGCUGCAUUAGCUAGUUGGUAAGGUAACGGCUUACCAAGGCAACGAUGCAUAGCCGACCUGAGAGGGUGAUCGGCCACACUGGAACUGAGACACGGUCCAGACUCCUACGGGAGGCAGCAGUAGGGAAUCUUCCGCAAUGGGCGAAAGCCUGACGGAGCAACGCCGCGUGAGUGAUGAAGGUCUUCGGAUCGUAAAACUCUGUUAUUAGGGAAGAACAUAUGUGUAAGUAACUGUGCACAUCUUGACGGUACCUAAUCAGAAAGCCACGGCUAACUACGUGCCAGCAGCCGCGGUAAUACGUAGGUGGCAAGCGUUAUCCGGAAUUAUUGGGCGUAAAGCGCGCGUAGGCGGUUUUUUAAGUCUGAUGUGAAAGCCCACGGCUCAACCGUGGAGGGUCAUUGGAAACUGGAAAACUUGAGUGCAGAAGAGGAAAGUGGAAUUCCAUGUGUAGCGGUGAAAUGCGCAGAGAUAUGGAGGAACACCAGUGGCGAAGGCGACUUUCUGGUCUGUAACUGACGCUGAUGUGCGAAAGCGUGGGGAUCAAACAGGAUUAGAUACCCUGGUAGUCCACGCCGUAAACGAUGAGUGCUAAGUGUUAGGGGGGUUUCCGCCCCUUAGUGCUGCAGCUAACGCAUUAAGCACUCCGCCUGGGGAGUACGACCGCAAGGUUGAAACUCAAAGGAAUUGACGGGGACCCGCACAAGCGGUGGAGCAUGUGGUUUAAUUCGAAGCAACGCGAAGAACCUUACCAAAUCUUGACAUCCUUUGACAACUCUAGAGAUAGAGCCUUCCCCUUCGGGGGACAAAGUGACAGGUGGUGCAUGGUUGUCGUCAGCUCGUGUCGUGAGAUGUUGGGUUAAGUCCCGCAACGAGCGCAACCCUUAAGCUUAGUUGCCAUCAUUAAGUUGGGCACUCUAAGUUGACUGCCGGUGACAAACCGGAGGAAGGUGGGGAUGACGUCAAAUCAUCAUGCCCCUUAUGAUUUGGGCUACACACGUGCUACAAUGGACAAUACAAAGGGCAGCGAAACCGCGAGGUCAAGCAAAUCCCAUAAAGUUGUUCUCAGUUCGGAUUGUAGUCUGCAACUCGACUACAUGAAGCUGGAAUCGCUAGUAAUCGUAGAUCAGCAUGCUACGGUGAAUACGUUCCCGGGUCUUGUACACACCGCCCGUCACACCACGAGAGUUUGUAACACCCGAAGCCGGUGGAGUAACCUUUUAGGAGCU